RNAcentral lists this ribosomal RNA (669 nucleotides) under uncultured bacterium. Its description in RNAcentral is "bacterial SSU rRNA". It matches the Rfam family "Bacterial small subunit ribosomal RNA", at positions 140 to 807 of the family's 1533-position model. The record is from RNAcentral.
GGGACAACCCGCCGAAAGGCGGGCUAAACCCGCGUACAUGCCACCGGGGCAUCCCGGAGGCAGGAAAGGCUUCGGCCGGACAGGGAUGGGCAUGCGGCGCAUUAGGCAGUAGGCGGGGUAACGGCCCACCUAACCGACGAUGCGUAGGGGUUCUGAGAGGAAGGUCCCCCACACUGGUACUGAGACACGGACCAGACUCCUACGGGAGGCAGCAGUGAGGAAUAUUGGUCAAUGGUCGGGAGACUGAACCAGCCAAGCCGCGUGAGGGAUGAAGGUACAGAGUAUCGUAAACCUCUUUUGUCAGGGAACAAAGGCGGGGACGUGUCCCCGGAUGAGUGUACCUGAAGAAAAAGCAUCGGCUAACUCCGAGCCAGCAGCCGCGGUAAUACGGAGGAUGCGAGCGUUAUCCGGAUUUAUUGGGUUUAAAGGGUGCGCAGGCGGUCUGUUAAGUCAGCGGUCAAAGCCCGGGGCUCAACCCCGGCCCGCCGUUGAAACUGGCAGUCUCGAGUUGGAGAGAAGUAUGCGGAAUGCGCGGUGUAGCGGUGAAAUGCAUAGAUAUCGCGCAGAACUCCGAUUGCGAAGGCAGCAUGCCGGCUCCACACUGACGCUGAGGCACGAAAGCGUGGGUAUCGAACAGGAUUAGAUACCCUGGUAGUCCACGCAGUAAAC